RNAcentral lists this ribosomal RNA (392 nucleotides) under uncultured bacterium. Its description in RNAcentral is "partial 16S ribosomal RNA". It matches the Rfam family "Bacterial small subunit ribosomal RNA", at positions 523 to 918 of the family's 1533-position model. The record is from RNAcentral.
AUACGUAGGUGGCAAGCGUUAUCCGGAAUUAUUGGGCGUAAAGAGGGAGCAGGCGGCAGCAAGGGUCUGUGGUGAAAGCCUGAAGCUUAACUUCAGUAAGCCAUAGAAACCAGGCAGCUAGAGUGCAGGAGAGGAUCGUGGAAUUCCAUGUGUAGCGGUGAAAUGCGUAGAUAUAUGGAGGAACACCAGUGGCGAAGGCGACGAUCGGGCCUGAAACUGACGCUCAGUCCCGAAAGCGUGGGGAGCAAAUAGGAUUAGAUACCCUAGUAGUCCACGCCGUAAACGAUGAGUACUAAGUGUUGGAUGUCAAAGUUCAGUGCUGCAGUUAACGCAAUAAGUACUCCGCCUGAGUAGUACGUUCGCAAGAAUGAAACUCAAAGGAAUUGACGGGG